RNAcentral lists this long non-coding RNA (1002 nucleotides) under Oncorhynchus kisutch (coho salmon). RNAcentral describes it as "lncRNA (ENSOKIG00005008366.1)". Lineage: Eukaryota; Metazoa; Chordata; Actinopteri; Salmoniformes; Salmonidae. The record is from RNAcentral.
AUGAACAUAUUCAAUCAAUCCCUAUCCCAGUCUGUUGUUCCCACAUGCUUCAAGAGGGCCACCAUUGUUCCUGUUCCCAAGAAAGCUAAGGUAACUGAGCUAAACGACUACCGCCCCUUAGCACUCACUUCCGUCAUCAUGAAGUGCUUUGAGAGACUAGUCAAGGACCAUAUCACCUCCACCCUACCUGACACCCUAGACCCACUCCAAUUUGCUUACCGCCCAAAUAGGUCCACAGACGAUGCAAUCUCAACCACACUGCACACUGCCCUAACCCAUCUGGACAAGAGGAAUACCUAUGUGAGAAUGCUGUUCAUCGACUACAGUUCGGCAUUUAACACCAUAGUGCCCUCCAAGCUCGAGACCCUGGGUCUCGACCCCGCCCUGUGCAACUGGGUACUGGACUUCCUGACGGGCCGCCCCCAGGUGGUUAGGGUGGGCAACAACAUUUCCACCCCGCUGAUCCUCAACACUGGGGCCCCACAAGGGUGCGUUCUAAGCCCUCUCCUGUACUCCCUGUUCACCCACGACUGCGUGGCCACGCACGCUUCCAACUCAAUCAUCAAGUUUGCGGACGACACAACAGUGGUAGGCUUGAUUACCAACAACGGCGAGACGGCCUACAGGGAGGAGGUGAGGGCCCUCGGAGUGUGGUGUCAGGAAAUUAACCUCGCACUCAACGUCAACAAAACUAAGGAGAUGUUUGUGGACUUCAGGAAACAGCAGAGGGAACACCCCCCUAUCCACAUUGAUGGAACAGUAGUGGAGAGGGUAUUAAGUUUUAAGUUCCUCGGCGUACACAUCACAGACAAAGUGAAUUGGUCCACCCACACAGACAGCAUCGUGAAGAAGGCGCAGCAGCGCCUCUUCAACCUCAGGAGGAUGAAGAAAUUUGGCUUGUCACCAAAAGCACUCACAAACUUCUACAGAUGCACAAUCGAGAGCAUCCUGUCGGGCUGUAUGGUACGCCUGGUACGGCAACUGCUCCGCCCACAACUGUAA